This 23-nucleotide non-coding RNA is filed under the name Arabidopsis thaliana (thale cress). The record is from RNAcentral. Lineage: Eukaryota; Viridiplantae; Streptophyta; Magnoliopsida; Brassicales; Brassicaceae.
UAUGUUAUGCUCAUUGGACAGCC